AUAUGUUUGUCAUAGCUAUCUGGUAAUUACCAAUGAACCCUAGGUUAUUUUUAAGGCUAUUUACGUAUUUUCGAUUCUACAUGCAUAAGUGUCAAACUGGUGUAAUGAAGGAAACUUCUUGGUAAUGGGUUAAGUGUUAACGUUUCGUGCAUACAUGUUUAGAUUCGAUGAAUUAGUAAUAUGAUAUGUUUAAAUAACCUUAUUUUUAACUCAAUUAGCUACUAAAGGUCCAAGUGACAAAGGCAAAUGACCUGCUAUUUACACUUUUUCUGGUGAGUUCCUUCUUACUUCCAUGUGUUGUGAUUAUCUUUACUUUAUAAUAUUGUAAGAUAAGUAAUCUUACUCUGUAAAGGAUGAUCAAUGUAUGUGUGCAUGAUAAUAGUUGUCUAUCCAAAGUCAUUAGUCUGAGUUCUAUAUGUCUAGGAUAAGAAGUAUGGGUCAUUUUCAUGUUAAGCC
Molecule: long non-coding RNA, 456 nt
Filed under: Gossypium raimondii (Peruvian cotton)
Lineage: Eukaryota; Viridiplantae; Streptophyta; Magnoliopsida; Malvales; Malvaceae
Description: long non-coding RNA (GRAI_LNC001587)
Source: RNAcentral